GAUGAACGCUGGCGGCGUGCCUAAUACAUGCAAGUCGAGCGAACGGACGAGAAGCUUGCUUCUCUGAUGUUAGCGGCGGACGGGUGAGUAACACGUGGAUAACCUACCUAUAAGACUGGGAUAACUUCGGGAAACCGGAGCUAAUACCGGAUGAUAUUUUGAACCGCAUGGUUCAAAAGUGAAAGACGGUCCUGCUGUCACUUAUAGAUGGAUCCGCGCUGCAUUAGCUAGUUGGUAAGGUAACGGCUUACCAAGGCAACGAUGCAUAGCCGACCUGAGAGGGUGAUCGGCCACACUGGAACUGAGACACGGUCCAGACUCCUACGGGAGGCAUCAGUAGGGAAUCUUCCGCAAUGGGCGAAAGCCUGACGGAGCAACGCCGCGUGAGUGAUGAAGGUCUUCGGAUCGUAAAACUCUAUUAUUAGGGAAGAACAUAUGUGUAAGUAACUGUGCACAUCUUGACGGUACCUAAUCAGAAAGCCACGGCUAACUACGUG
This 497-nucleotide ribosomal RNA is filed under the name uncultured bacterium. RNAcentral describes it as "partial 16S ribosomal RNA". It matches the Rfam family "Bacterial small subunit ribosomal RNA", at positions 28 to 507 of the family's 1533-position model. The record is from RNAcentral.